UCUAAUAUGGCAGAUUAGUGCAAUGGAUUUAAGCUUCAUAUAUAAAGGGUUCCCCCCUUUUGUUAGAA
This 68-nucleotide transfer RNA is filed under the name Paraleuctra cercia. RNAcentral describes it as "tRNA-Leu". It matches the Rfam family "tRNA". From Rfam's summary of the family: Transfer RNA (tRNA) molecules are approximately 80 nucleotides in length. The record is from RNAcentral. Lineage: Eukaryota; Metazoa; Arthropoda; Insecta; Plecoptera; Leuctridae.